CAGAAAACUAAAACACACAAAACAGAACAACUACUUCCACUCCUCCUCCUCCUUCCUCCUCCUUCUCCUUCCUCAUCUUCUCAUCUGUUUCUUGUUCUAAUAAUUUGAUCAAUAGCAACAGUUUCGCAUCAAGUUGUUCCGAAAUUGGAAGCUUCAAAUGCUAGAAAUGUGUUUCCGCUUUGUCUUGAAGCGUUUCCAGGAAGAUAGGUGUUUGGAGUGGAUGGAAGGCAGAACUGCAAACUAUCACAAGGUUGGUAAAUAUUAGCAACUGUAAUACUUCUAACGUGUACCAUUAUGGCGUCUGCCAGCCUAGGAAAUGGGGGAGUUGGAAGUUCUAGGUCUGUUAAUGGCUUCAAGAGUUCAUCAAGCUCAGUUGACUGGCUGGGGAGAGAGAUGUUUGAGAUGAGAUUGAGGGACAAGGCGGACCAUGAUGAAGACAGAGAUAGUGAACCAGAUAUAAUUGAUGGUGUGGGUACAGAAGCAGGACAUGUCAUAAGAACCACUAUAGGUGGUCGAAAUGGUCAAUCUAGACAGACAAUAAGUUAUAUAGCGGAGCAUGUGGUUGGAACUGGUUCUUUUGGUGUUGUCUUCCAAGCUAAAUGUCGGGAAACUGGAGAAAUUGUCGCUAUCAAGAAAGUUCUCCAAGACAAGCGCUACAAGAAUAGAGAGUUACAGAUUAUGCAGAUGUUGGAUCAUCCAAAUAUUGUUUCCCUUAAGAAUUGUUUCUUUUCAACAACUGAAAAGGAAGAGCUCUACCUAAAUCUGGUACUCGAAUAUGUUCCCGAAACUGUCAAUCGUAUUGCAAGGAGCUACAGCAGGAUCAACCAAAGAAUGCCUUUAAUAUAUGUUAAACUCUAUACCUAUCAGAUCUGUAGGGCACUUGCCUAUAUACACAAUUGCAUUGGUAUUUGUCACCGUGACAUCAAGCCUCAAAACUUACUGGUGAAUCCAAGCACGCAUCAACUGAAACUUUGUGAUUUUGGGAGUGCCAAAGUGCUGGUGAAAGGAGAACCCAAUGUCUCUUACAUCUGCUCAAGAUACUACCGUGCCCCAGAAUUGAUAUUUGGUGCUACUGAAUACACUACUGCCAUUGAUAUAUGGUCUACAGGUUGUGUGAUGGCUGAGUUGCUACUAGGGAAGCCUUUGUUUCCUGGUGAAAGUGGAGUUGACCAACUAGUUGAGAUCAUUAAGGUGAUGUUAUCUUUUGAUUCUCAUGUGCCUUUGGAAAUAUCUUGAUUUUAAGUUUUCCUAAUAUGUGAUUUUGAGAGUUAUAUUUUAACCCUUGAAAGUUUAAACAUCUCAAAUUAUCAAGCUUUGGUAUGUGCAAGGCAUUUAUAAAACUCUAUUUCUGGGUUGAAUUCAGAUGUUCUGAAAAUGAAAUUAAGUGCUGUUAUUUAAUAUCUUCUCUUGAUAAGUAUAUAUUUUGAUAGUCUAUGGCUAAAUGUUGGACUACGCAUUUUUUAAUAUUAGUUUAGACUCCAUUUGUAUAGGUGUGAAUAUCAAGUGAUGAGGUAUUUGAAUUUCAUAUUAUUUUGACAUUUUAUUUUCACUUGAAACACAUAUUCAAAUCCUUAAUCAUUCCAAAUGCAUGUGUAUCCAAAUGUAGCUUCAUAUUAUUUCCUUUGCAAUUUUUGCCCAAAACUAACAGAUCGCUCUUCUAUUUCGAGAAAGCAUGGAGAUGAAACUUAAAUUCUUAAGAAUACAAUUCACAUCAAAACACUCAACUUUCUCAUGUUUCAUCUUUGAUCCGCCUGAGUACCCCAGUUGAACUUGAAACCAGACAGCUUGUUUCAACUGCCAUUAGGGGAGUGCUUAAUAGCAAAUCUGUAAGUUGUUUUUCAGGUUUUGGGAACUCCAACAAGGGAGGAGAUAAAGUGCAUGAAUCCAAACUAUACCGAAUUUAAGUUUCCACAAAUAAAGCCUCACCCAUGGCACAAGGUUUAUGCUCUUCCUCCUUGCUCUUAAAUCCUUUGCUUAUGUUUGUGCUGUUCCUCCGUCUGAGCUUGAAUUGAACAGUGCUGAAAUAAAUGCAUUCUUAUGAUUUAAACUCGGAAGGUACAUGUUUAUGGCCUACAAUCUUUCAAAAGAAGUGCAGUAAUGGCUCCCAAGCCUCUUUAGAAAGACUCCUUGGGUAGAAACCUACCAGGCUUAGCUGCUAUGGGGCUUGCAGAAGGACUGGAAUUAGGAGCACGUUCUGCUCUUGGGGACUCACUGAAGUUUUAUAGGAAAGGUCUUCCAUAAGUGACCUGUUCAGGAAUUCACAAUGAAAAUUGAAUACUUGACUAAUAAGAAGCAACAUGCUAUGCUGCAUGUGAUUUUCCUAGAUAUGGUAUUCAAAAUAAGCUUCUGGAAAUGUCUAUUCUAGCUGCACAUAGAAUGUACAUCAUCUAAGAGUUCAAUCCAACCAGGUUAGCCACUAUAGGACCUGGAAAAACACUGGAAUUUGAAGGGUUACGUGUUGGGGAUUUACUGUGAAGUUUCAUAGUAAAGUACUUCCAUCUCAAUUGACUGGCUUCUAGCCUUACCUAAAUCCAGGAAAUAAUCACAAUAAAACAUUGAAUAUUAAACUAAUUAUUAGGCAAUCUUUUAUGCUACAUGUGAAUUUUCCAAAUGCGGUUUUUCAAAAUAAGCAGCUACAAACAUUUAUUUUACUUGUAUUUCUUGCUCUUGUUUCUUUUAUCUGCACUGUAUUUUCCCUCCAUUUUCAUCAUGCCUUUAGUAAUCCCUAUUUCUUUAAGCUAUUGAGAUUCACUCUGACGUCAUUCUCAUCUGCUAGGUUUUCCAAAAGCGUUUACCCCCAGAAGCAGUGGACCUUGUCUGUAGGUUUUUCCAGUACUCUCCCAAUUUGAGAUGCACUGCUUUGGAAGCUUGUGUGCACCCUUUCUUUGAUGAACUGAGAAAUCCAGAGACUCGCCUUCCCAAUGGCCGACCUCUCCCGCCACUAUUUAAUUUUAAACCUCAAGAACUUUCAGGCAUACCACCAGACAUUGUCAACCGGCUUAUUCCGGAGCACGCUCGUAAGCAGAACUUAUUCAUGGCUUUGCACACCUAGCAACUGUUACAAAAUCUUUGCAUGUGCAGUGUCUUCUAUGCGAUUGUCUUAUAUCAUCAUACUGUAAAAAUUCUCUGCUUUUGUUGUCUUCAACUUCUUUCCUGUGAGAGAAUGCUGCAAAGAUUAGUUCUUUUAGGACAUUCUGGAAACCUGAGGUUUUGUUUUUCCAGUUUGCUUCUGUGCCUGGUAAAGUUGUUUUGUGGUAGUCUAUAGCUUAUGAUGUAUAUUCAUAAAAAGCCAUCUGUUAUGAGGGAUUUUAGUAAGGUGAAAUAUUUGAGAACAUUUAUAUGUU
This 3344-nucleotide unclassified non-coding RNA is filed under the name Hevea brasiliensis (rubber tree). Lineage: Eukaryota; Viridiplantae; Streptophyta; Magnoliopsida; Malpighiales; Euphorbiaceae. The record is from RNAcentral.